Molecule: ribosomal RNA, 468 nt
Filed under: uncultured bacterium
Lineage: Bacteria
Description: partial 16S ribosomal RNA
Rfam family: Bacterial small subunit ribosomal RNA
Source: RNAcentral
GAUGAACGCUGGCGGCGUGCUUAACACAUGCAAGUCGAACGGAAAGGCCCAAGCUUGCUUGGGUACUCGAGUGGCGAACGGGUGAGUAACACGUGGGUGAUCUGCCCUGCACUUCGGGAUAAGCCUGGGAAACUGGGUCUAAUACCGGAUAGGACGAUGGUUUGGAUGCCAUUGUGGAAAGUUUUUUCGGUGUGGGAUGAGCUCGCGGCCUAUCAGCUUGUUGGUGGGGUAAUGGCCUACCAAGGCGUCGACGGGUAGCCGGCCUGAGAGGGUGUACGGCCACAUUGGGACGGAGAUACGGCCCAGACUCCGACGGGAGGCAGCAGUGGGGAAUAUUGCACAAUGGGCGCAAGCCUGAUGCAGCGACGCCGCGUGGGGGAUGACGGCCUUCGGGUUGUAAACUCCUUUCGCUAGGGACGAAGCGUCUUUGUGACGGUACCUGGAAAAGAAGCACCGGCUAACUACGUG